UACGGAGGGUCCGAGCGUUAUCCGGAAUCAUUGGGUUUAAAGGGUCCGUAGGCGGGCAGCUAAGUCAGUGGUGAAAGUCUGCAGCUCAACUGUAGAACUGCCAUUGAUACUGGUUGUCUUGAAUCAAUGUGAAGUGGCUAGAAUAUGUGGUGUAGCGGUGAAAUGCUUAGAUAUCACAUGGAAUACCGAUUGCGAAGGCAGGUCACUAACAUUGCAUUGACGCUGAGGGACGAAAGCGUGGGGAGCGAACAGG
RNAcentral lists this ribosomal RNA (253 nucleotides) under uncultured bacterium. RNAcentral's name for it is "partial 16S ribosomal RNA". It matches the Rfam family "Bacterial small subunit ribosomal RNA", at positions 524 to 776 of the family's 1533-position model. The record is from RNAcentral.